GGAAAACAAUAGUGAAGAAGAAGAAAAAUUUUGAAUAAACACUUCAUGAAAGAAGAUGUAAAAUAGACAAAGCUCUGCGGCUCUGGAAGAUGGCCACUACAUGGCAGGAGCGAGCCUCAGCCCCUCAGUGACACAGUGGAACAGAGCUGUCUGUCCCAAGACAUCAGUUUGGCUGCUCACUGGAACCAUGGGUGUGAUCCAUUUGGAAAUCCUUAGGAUCAGGUAUUGCACUGGAUCUUAAUGCUCCUCAUUCAGCUUAGCAACCUGUCUGCUAAAUUUCAUUGGAAAUGUAGCAAGCUCACUGAGUUCCAUUGCAAAAACCAGCAGUAUGCAUGCAUGGUAAGCCGCUUCAGUCAUGUCUGACUCUUUGUGACCCCACAUACUGU
This is a long non-coding RNA of Cervus elaphus (red deer), 386 nucleotides long. RefSeq lists it as uncharacterized. The record is from RefSeq and is a predicted model, not a curated record. The transcript is spliced from 3 exons. NCBI's taxonomy places the organism in Eukaryota, Metazoa, Chordata, Mammalia, Artiodactyla, Cervidae.